UAUUAUUUUAGAAUGUUAAUUUUUGUGCCUGAGUAGUAUUAGUUAUGUUCUUGAAACUUAAAGAAUUUGGCGGUAUCUCAUUCCGUCCAGAGGAAUCUGUCCCGUUAUCGAUAGUCCGCGCUGGACCUUACUUAUUUGAUUUUGGUUUGUAUACCGCCGUUUAUUGAUUAUCUUUUUAGGGUUUAUUUAAUUUUCUGGUUUCUUUAUUUUGAUGUAUUUCAGGUCAAGGUGCAGCUUGUUUUUAAGUGGAAUGAUGGAUUACAUUGUUAUUUGUUUAUGGAUUGUUAGUUUUAAUAUUGGCAUGAAAUUGGAUUUGGUUGUAAUGGUUUGUAGAUUGUUAUUAUGAUAAUUGGUUCUGGGAUAUGCACACAUCGCCCGUCGCUCUCGUUUGUUUAUAUAAUGAG
RNAcentral lists this ribosomal RNA (404 nucleotides) under Nasutitermes takasagoensis. Its description in RNAcentral is "partial 12S rRNA". Lineage: Eukaryota; Metazoa; Arthropoda; Insecta; Blattodea; Termitidae. The record is from RNAcentral.